Molecule: non-coding RNA, 72 nt
Organism: Gossypium hirsutum (cotton)
Lineage: Eukaryota; Viridiplantae; Streptophyta; Magnoliopsida; Malvales; Malvaceae
Source: Rfam
GCUGUUGUAGUAUAGUUGUAAGUAUUUCCGCCUGUCACGCGUAAAACCCGGGUUUGAUCCCCGGCAACGGCG